AGACCGAUAGCGAACAAGUACAGUGAUGGAAAGAUGAAAAGCACUUUGNAAAAGAGAGUGAAACAGCACGUGAAAUUGUUGAAAGGGAAGGGCUUGCAAGCAGACACGGUUUUACCGGGCCAGCGUCGAAAAGGGGGGAGGAACAAGAACUCGAGAAUGUGGCGCGCACCUUCGGGCGCGCGUGUUAUAGCUCGUGUUGACGCCUCCAUCCCUUUUCGAGGCCUGCGAUUCUAGGACGCUGGCGUAAUGGUUGCAAGCCGCCCGUCUUGAAACACGGACCAAG
RNAcentral lists this ribosomal RNA (283 nucleotides) under Clavispora lusitaniae. RNAcentral's name for it is "partial large subunit ribosomal RNA". It matches the Rfam family "Eukaryotic large subunit ribosomal RNA", at positions 331 to 670 of the family's 3401-position model. Lineage: Eukaryota; Fungi; Ascomycota; Pichiomycetes; Serinales; Metschnikowiaceae. The record is from RNAcentral.